RNAcentral lists this ribosomal RNA (233 nucleotides) under uncultured bacterium. RNAcentral's name for it is "partial 16S ribosomal RNA". It matches the Rfam family "Bacterial small subunit ribosomal RNA", at positions 15 to 237 of the family's 1533-position model. The record is from RNAcentral.
GAUCAUGGCUCAGGAUGAACGCUAGCGACAGGCCUAACACAUGCAAGUCGAGGGGCAGCGGAGAGGUAGCAAUACCUUUGCCGGCGACCGGCGCACGGGUGAGUAACACGUAUGCAAUCCACCUGUAACAGGGGGAUAACCCGGAGAAAUCCGGACUAAUACCCCAUAAUAUGGGCGUUCCGCAUGGAGAGCUCAUUAAAGAGAGCAAUUUUGGUUACAGACGAGCAUGCGCU